Molecule: ribosomal RNA, 984 nt
Filed under: uncultured Verrucomicrobiaceae bacterium
Lineage: Bacteria; Pseudomonadati; Verrucomicrobiota; Verrucomicrobiia; Verrucomicrobiales; Verrucomicrobiaceae
Description: bacterial SSU rRNA
Rfam family: Bacterial small subunit ribosomal RNA
Source: RNAcentral
GCAAGUCGCACGGGGCAAGAUUGUAGUAAUACCGUCUUGUUCAGUGGCGCAUGGGUGCGUAACACGUGAGUUACAUGCCCUAUAGAGGGGGAUAGCCCAGGGAAACUUGGAUUAAUACCCCAUAGUCUCGCAAGAGUAAAGGUGGCCAGCAAUGGCUGUCGCUAUAGGAUUGGCUCGCGGCCUAUCAGCUAGUUGGUGAGGUAACGGCUCACCAAGGCUACGACGGGUACCUGGUCUGAGAGGACGAUCAGGCACACUGGAACUGAGACACGGUCCAGACACCUACGGGUGGCAACAGUCGAGAAUCAUUCACAAUGGGGGCAACCCUGAUGGUGCAACGCCGCGUGGAGGAUGAAGGUCUUCGGAUUGUAAACUCCUGUCAUCUAGGAGCAAGACCUGGCGAUGAAUAGUCGACAGGGUUGAUAGUACUAGAAGAGGAAGGGACGGCUAACUUCGUGCCAGCAGCCGCGGUAAUACGAAGGUCCCGAGCAUUAUUCGGAAUCACUGGGCGUAAAGGGAGCGUAGGCGGCGUGGAAAGUCAGAUGUGAAAUCCCAGAGCUUAACUCUGGAACUGCAUCCGAUACUACCAUGCUUGAGUAUUGGAGGGGUAACUGGAAUUCUCGGUGUAGCAGUGAAAUGCGUAGAUAUCGAGAGGAACACUCGUGGCGAAAGCGAGUUACUGGACAAUUACUGACGCUGAGGCUCGAAGGCUAGGGGAGCAAAAGGGAUUAGAUACCCCUGUAGUCCUAGCAGUAAACGGUGCACGCUUGGUUUGAGGGGAAUCGACCCCCUUCGAGCCGGAGCUAACGCGUUAAGCGUGCCGCCUGGGAAGUACGGUCGCAAGACUAAAACUCAAAGAAAUUGACGGGGACCCGCACAAGCGGUGGAGUAUGUGGCUUAAUUCGAUGCAACGCGAAGAACCUUACCUAGGCUUGACAUGGAUUUCUAAGCACGUGAAAGCGUGUGACCCUUCGGGGGACUUCC